Long non-coding RNA from Ornithorhynchus anatinus (platypus), 835 nucleotides. RefSeq lists it as uncharacterized. Lineage: Eukaryota; Metazoa; Chordata; Mammalia; Monotremata; Ornithorhynchidae. The record is from RefSeq and is a predicted model, not a curated record. The transcript is spliced from 4 exons.
GAGGGGACCGGCCGCGCUCGGUCUCCAUGGAGACGGCGGCCCGGCAGCCGGCCCCGGCCGCGUGCUCGCUCCAGCAGCCCGGAAGAGCCCAUUUACGGGAUUGUUUUUCGAGCACUUUAUUUUCCAAAGAGCCUUCGCAACGCUGAUGUCAUUUCUGCCCUCGCCAGUUUGGGCUCACGGUACCGAGCGGUUGGGAGAGCACACGCAGAUCACAUGCCUGGAGCUGCCGGGGCGACGCAUGCGUAAGGCCCAGGCCGGCUGACUGCUGAGUGGGAGUCCCCGGCCUUGCGGCCCCUACAUCGACAAGUUCUUGCUCUCAGUCCCAAUCCCGACUCUUCUGCCCGCCCGGCUCCCUCCCAGAUCCUGUUCCCCUGCCCUUCCCACUCGGGAAAUCCCUAUUUCAGUCCCGGCGAGCUGCACGGUGCAGGAGAGGGUAGAUGCCCUUCAUUUCGAAGAUGACUCAGUGGAUGCCGAGAACCCUCGAUGAGUGUCUCUGAGAGAGAAUUUCUUCCACAUCUGUACAGUCGGUCUGGUUAAAUGCUGCUGGUUUUCCAAUCAAUCAAUCCCCUCCACAUUUCCCAGUCUUUGGCCACAGGGAGUCUGGACCCUCUGAAGAGAAAAUGAGAUAACUGAAGAGAAAGGACUUUGGGAACUUGAAAGUUCUGCACCGAUACCAGGAAUGUUCUAGGACAUAACGUUGCCUUGCUUGUCUGGACUGUGAAUCUGAUGGAAUAUGCAAGGUCCCAUGACUGGAUGCCUGCUUUUCAGAGAGCUUCAGAUGCAAUUUCUAGCCUAAUUCCCCUGGAUUAAUUAAAUUGUUUCCCUGCCAGAAUUU